GGGGGCGCACCGGUUUCGACUGGGAUCACAAGCCUUCUGUGGCAUGUCGCGGAGGUCCGUUGGCCGCGUUAUCAAUCGGGCACAAACUUAACUGCGAACAACGAAUUCGCUCUUGCUGCCUAAUUAAAGGCAACGACGCUUCCCAUCCCCUCCGCCUGUGGGGGAUCUGAAGCGAGGUUAACAGGCUGGCCUUUUCCAUGCCCGUCGGGAAAAGGCGAGACUAAAGGCGGGAUUUUCCCUGCCAAUGCCCGUCGGUUGGCUAGGUAAGGGAUAAAACUAAUCAUCCGACUACACAUGUAGAAGCAGUUGGUGCGGAUCGUCAGGACGCGGGUUCGAAUCCCGCCGCCUCCACCA
Molecule: transfer-messenger RNA, 354 nt
Filed under: bacterium
Lineage: Bacteria
Description: UBA3054 sp002366995 Standard tmRNA
Rfam family: transfer-messenger RNA
About the family: Bacterial tmRNA, also known as 10Sa RNA or SsrA, is named for its dual tRNA and mRNA-like properties. Its role is to liberate the mRNA from a stalled ribosome. To accomplish this part of the tmRNA is used as a reading frame that ends in a translation stop signal.
Source: RNAcentral